AGUGUACGCUGGCGGUAGGCCUAACACAUGCAAGUCGAACGGCAGCACAGGAGAGCUUGCUCUCUGGGUGGCGAGUGGCGGACGGGUGAGGAAUACAUCGGAAUCUACUCUGUCGUGGGGGAUAACGUAGGGAAACUUACGCUAAUACCGCAUACGACCUACGGGUGAAAGCAGGGGACCUUCGGGCCUUGCGCGAUUGAAUGAGCCGAUGUCGGAUUAGCUAGUUGGCGGGGUAAAGGCCCACCAAGGCGACGAUCCGUAGCUGGUCUGGGAGGAUGAUCAGCCACACUGGAACUGCGACACGGUCCAGACUCCUACGGGAGGCAGCAGUGGGGAAUAUUGGAUAAUGGGCGCAAGCCUGAUCCAGCCAUACCGCGUGGGUGAAGAAGGCCUUCGGGUUGUAAAGCCCUUUUGUUGGGAAAGAAAUCCAGCUGGCUAAUACCCGGUUGGGAUGACGGUACCCAAAGAAUAAGCACCGGCUAACUUCGUGCCAGCCGCCGCGGUAA
This 506-nucleotide ribosomal RNA is filed under the name uncultured bacterium. RNAcentral describes it as "partial 16S ribosomal RNA". It matches the Rfam family "Bacterial small subunit ribosomal RNA", at positions 29 to 523 of the family's 1533-position model. The record is from RNAcentral.